This 465-nucleotide ribosomal RNA is filed under the name Vreelandella stevensii. RNAcentral's name for it is "partial 16S ribosomal RNA". It matches the Rfam family "Bacterial small subunit ribosomal RNA", at positions 338 to 795 of the family's 1533-position model. The record is from RNAcentral. Lineage: Bacteria; Pseudomonadati; Pseudomonadota; Gammaproteobacteria; Oceanospirillales; Halomonadaceae.
CCUACGGGUGGCAGCAGUGGGGAAUAUUGGACAAUGGGGGCAACCCUGAUCCAGCCAUGCCGCGUGAGUGAAGAAGGCCCUCGGGUUGUAAAGCACUUUCAGUGAGGAAGAACGCCUGGUGGUUAAUACCCAUCAGGAAAGACAUCACUCACAGAAGAAGCACCGGCUAACUCCGUGCCAGCAGCCGCGGUAAUACGGAGGGUGCGAGCGUUAAUCGGAAUUACUGGGCGUAAAGCGCGCGUAGGUGGCUUGAUAAGCCGGUUGUGAAAGCCCCGGGCUCAACCUGGGAACGGCAUCCGGAACUGUCAAGCUAGAGUGCAGGAGAGGAAGGUAGAAUUCCCGGUGUAGCGGUGAAAUGCGUAGAGAUCGGGAGGAAUACCAGUGGCGAAGGCGGCCUUCUGGACUGACACUGACACUGAGGUGCGAAAGCGUGGGUAGCAAACAGGAUUAGAUACCCCUGUAGUC